This 253-nucleotide ribosomal RNA is filed under the name uncultured bacterium. Its description in RNAcentral is "partial 16S ribosomal RNA". It matches the Rfam family "Bacterial small subunit ribosomal RNA", at positions 524 to 776 of the family's 1533-position model. The record is from RNAcentral.
UACGAAGGGGGCUAGCGUUGCUCGGAAUCACUGGGCGUAAAGCGCACGUAGGCGGAUUGCUAAGUCAGGGGUGAAAUCCCGGGGCUCAACCUCGGAACUGCCUUUGAUACUGCAAGUCUCGAGUCCGAUAGAGGUGAGUGGAAUUCCUAGUGUAGAGGUGAAAUUCGUAGAUAUUAGGAAGAACACCAGUGGCGAAGGCGGCUCACUGGAUCGGUACUGACGCUGAGGUGCGAAAGCGUGGGGAGCAAACAGG